Molecule: ribosomal RNA, 427 nt
Filed under: uncultured bacterium
Lineage: Bacteria
Description: bacterial SSU rRNA
Rfam family: Bacterial small subunit ribosomal RNA
Source: RNAcentral
UGGGGAAUUGUUCGCAAUGGGCGCAAGCCUGACGACGCAACGCCGCGUGGAGGAUGACGGUCUUCGGAUUGUAAACUCCUGUUGCUCGGGACGAAUCGCCUCGACCUAAUACGUUGAGGUCUGACGGUACCGGGUGAGGAAGCCCCGGCUAACUCUGUGCCAGCAGCCGCGGUAAUACAGAGGGGGCAAGCGUUGUUCGGAAUUACUGGGCGUAAAGGGCGCGUAGGCGGCCGACUCAGUCGAACGUGAAAUCCCCGGGCUCAACCCGGGAACUGCGUCCGAUACUGGUCGGCUUGAAUCCGGGAGAGGGAUGCGGAAUUCCAGGUGUAGCGGUGAAAUGCGUAGAUAUCUGGAGGAACACCGGUGGCGAAGGCGGCAUCCUGGACCGGCAUUGACGCUGAGGCGCGAAAGCCAGGGGAGCAAACGG